AGCGAACGCUGGCGGCGUGGUUGAGACAUGCAAGUCGAACGAGUCUGGUCUGGUCGUAAGACCGGACCUGUACGAGUGGCGAAAGGGAGAGUACAAAACAGGUAACGUACCCCGGACACCGGAAUAGCCCGUCGAAAGGCGGAUUAAUGCCGGGUGAUGUCCCGGAUCGCAUGGUCUGGGAUCAUAGGAUGGGGACCCUUCGGGGCCUGUCGGUCUGGGAGCGGCCUGUUUCCUAUCAGCUUGUUGGUGAGGUAAUGGCUCACCAAGGCGAUGACGGGUAGCCGGCCUUAGCGGGUGUUCGGCCUCACUGGGACUGAGACACUGCCCAGAGCCCUACGGGGUGCAGCAGUCUCGAAUCAUCCGCAAUGCGCGAAAGCGUGACGGUGCGACGCCGCGUGCGGGAGGAAGCCCUUCGGGGUGUAAACCGCUUUUCAGAGGUAUGAAGUGCGCCCGCCGAACAAGCGGGUGGCAUGACGUCAAC
This 481-nucleotide ribosomal RNA is filed under the name uncultured bacterium. Its description in RNAcentral is "bacterial SSU rRNA". It matches the Rfam family "Bacterial small subunit ribosomal RNA", at positions 28 to 484 of the family's 1533-position model. The record is from RNAcentral.